This 336-nucleotide unclassified non-coding RNA is filed under the name soil metagenome. Its description in RNAcentral is "partial contains 5.8S ribosomal RNA, internal transcribed spacer 2, and large subunit ribosomal RNA". The stretch from base 1 to 120 matches the Rfam family "5.8S ribosomal RNA", at positions 35 to 154 of the family's 154-position model. The record is from RNAcentral.
GAUGAAGAACGUAUCGAAAUGCGAUAAGUAAUGUGAAUUGCAGAAUUCAGUGAAUCAUCGAAUCUUUGAACGCACAUUGCGCCCGCCAGUAUUCUGGCGGGCAUGCCUGUUCGAGCGUCAUUUCAACCAUCAAGCCCCCGGCUUGUGUUGGGGACCUGCGGCUGCCGCAGGCCCUGAAAACCAGUGGCGGGCUCGCUAGUCACUCCGAGCGUAGUAAUACAUCUCGCUCAGGGCGUGCUGCGGGUUCCGGCCGUUAAAAAAGCCUUAUUUACCCAAGGUUGACCUCGGAUCAGGUAGGAAGACCCGCUGAACUUAAGCAUAUCAAUAAGCGGAGGA